Molecule: RNA transcript, 3205 nt
Organism: Numida meleagris (helmeted guineafowl)
Lineage: Eukaryota; Metazoa; Chordata; Aves; Galliformes; Numididae
Gene: TERF1
Gene name: telomeric repeat binding factor 1
Exons: 11
Source: RefSeq, a predicted model, not a curated record
GGCGCCGGAAGGGGCGGGGAUAGGACAGCGAGACCGUUGGGUGGGAGGAGGGGAAAGCAGUGGCGCGUAGGUUGAAAAUGUCGGAGAUGGGCAGGGAGUGGGGGAGUGGUUUGGUUCCGGUUGUCUCUGCGGCACUGGCGCGGGUGGAGGCUGUGGCCGCGGACUGGGUAUUGGAAUUCAGCUGCUACUGCCUGUGUCGGCAUUUCGUGGAGGAGUGCGGGGCCGAAUUCAGGCGGUGGACGGAUGUGGCGCUAGCUGUUUCUAAUGGCUUCUCCAAAGUAACUGCACACCAGAAAAAAAUGGUGUACCUCUGUCAGCUUUUGAUAAGAAUUGCAAAAGGAAAAAGACUUGAAUGCCAUUUUGAAAAUGACAAAAGAAUUUCGCCCUUGGAGUCUGCUCUAUCUUUUUGGACGUUACUUGAAAGAGAAGAAAGUAAACUCGAUACACGUCAUGAAGAAAUUCGUCGUUUGAUUCAAAUUCAGGUUGUAGCAGUCUAUAUGGAAAAAGGGUAUUAUAAGGAGGCUGGUGAAGUUCUUGAAAGGCUAUUUACAGACUCAGAAUCACAUAAGCCUUUAAGGAUGAAGCUGGCAACCAUAGUCAAAAGCAAGGAUCCAUAUGUUCCCCUUCUCCAAAGCUUCAGUUACAAUCUUUUGCUAAGUAAAGUCAAGUCUUACGUUGAACUUUUCCUGAAAGAAAACGAAACUAACUUCUUACUACAGGUAGCUACAAAACAAGUGGAGUCUAAAGGAGGGGAGGUAACAGUGUUGCAGAGCAAAACUAUGAAUGUCAAAGAAGAGAGAGAAAAUAAUUCGGAAACUAAACAAAGACUUACAGAAGAGCUACGGAGUACUACAAGCUGGUUAUCUGGAGACAUAACAUCCAUAAUAAGGCCUUGUUCAAAAGAGAGAUACAGAGCAAGCAGUGUUCAGAGGCUGAAAGACUUGCAAAAUGUGGAAGAACGUGGAGGUGAUUUACCUGGUGGCCGAAGAAGACAGACACAGGCACUGACAUGGCCAGUCACACAGACCACCUCAGGCACUGCCAUCAGUAACGCUCACGUAGAGAAGACCUACUUAAAAUACAUCCCCUUCUUCAGCUGGCAGAGGAGUUUUGCUUGUGAAAGCACACACAUUGGUGGAUUCCCCCAAGUACUAGCGUAGCCCAUCUGCCAGCCUUGUACACCUGUGUAAGUCCUGUUAUGUGCUUCAUGGAUCCUUUAUUUUUCUGUCCGGUACAGACUGAUGCACCAAACACAGCACUUGCUCACUUGUCCCACUGGCAUUUCACACUUGAGUUGCAUUCCAGUGUGCAUCUCUUUUCAUGCAGAAGGCAAGCCAUACUCUGUGCAAGUGCUUUUCUGGCUGUCCUUUAAGACGCUUUACUUCAUGUUUCAGAAAGGCAAAAGUGAUAAAACUCGUGGCUUGAGAUAAAGACAGUUUAAUUGGUAAAGCAAAACUGCAUGCAAGCAAAGCAAGAUCAGGAAUUCAUUCAAUACUGCUUGUGGGCAAAUUAGUUAUUUCUAGGAAAGCAGAGUGCUAUCAGGUGUAACUAACUGGUUUUUUGGGAGAAGACAACACUCCCAUCCCCUUUCCUCUUUCUUUAACUCAGUUUUCAUUGCUGAGCACGACAUCAUGAGGUAUGGGGUUAUGGAAUUAUCCUGUUGGUCCCUUUGCGUCACCUGUCCUGGCUUUGUCCCCUCCCAUCUUCUUGUGCACUCUCCUCGUUUGUUCACUAGAGGGCAGCAUGAGAAGCAGGAAAGACCAGCAUUGACAUGUUACUGUUUUUGUCACAAGUCCAAAGCUUAGCACUGUAUCAUCUACUGUGAAUAAAGUUAACUCUGUCCCACAAAAUCAGUACUGCUAUGCAAACCUAUUCUUCACCAAAUCUAUUAGAUAAGCAGGAUAUGGUAAACAGGAACAGCAAUUUAAAUUCUUCAGAUAAGGAGGCUCUAGAAAAUACGCACUUGUAAAUGCAGUCAACUCCUUUGCUAAUUAAAUUGUCCUGACUGGUGGCACCGUUAGUUGCAAAUGUUUGGUAACUAGUGAGACCUGCAAAAGCCUGAGACAUUAACUAUGUUGCUUCUACACAUCAGUAAGCAUGAACGUGACCCAAUAAUUGCAGUGUUUUUGAUUGCUUGUCUAUAUAAAUUUCAUGGUGCUUUUCUGAGCACAACUACUGACUGUUUUUGCUAUUUCAGUGCAACUCCAAAAUAAGGCACUGGUAAAAUGCAAAAGUAAGAGGCCUUCAUGGCUGGAUUUUCAGAAGUCAUGCUCAUGACUUGUACAAACACACAUGCAGAAUGGAUUAUCAUGUAUUUUCUAGAAGUCCACCAACUAGAAUUAGAUUUUUAGUGUGGAAGGUGGUGCUACUCGCAGAAAUGCCAAUGUGAGAUGAGUGAAAAUUGACCUUUUGUAUCUUUCUGUAACAACUGUGGUCCAUGAGACCAUCAGGAGCAGCAGGAUUCCUCCAGUGAAAGAAGCAGAAAUUAACACAGAUUAAUUAAAUGGAACACUUACAGAAUUCUCUAUACAUCUCAACUCAAUCUCAUUAAUGUUUUUGAGUUAAUGCUUUUUUCUGUAAGUGAAGUCUUUGUUCUUUCAAGAUUUCUUCCCCAAAAUCUGAAAAGCAUGCUAUAAAAUGCCAUUUAAAACAGAAGUUGGUUCUUACUUUUUAGAUGCAUUUUUCCUAAACAGUUCCUCCAAAGGGAGAUUCUGUUCUCUAUUUGUACAAAUUAUAUAGAAUUCAGUUUGCCUGAGGAGAUGUACGUCUGUAUGAUUGUGUCCUUGUUUUGGCUGAGAUAAAAGUUAAGUUUCUUCACAGUUGCAGUAUGAUGCUGUGUUUUGGAUUCAGGAGAAGAACAGUGUUGAUAGCAUACUGAUGCUUUGGUUGUUGCUGAGCAGUGCUUACUCUAAGUAAGGACUUUUCAGAUUCUCACACCUCCCUGCCAUCAAGGAGCUGAGGGGCACAAGGAGCUGGGAGGGGGCAGAACCAGGAUAGCUGACCUAAGCUGCUCAAAGGGAUAUUCCAUAUGACAUCAUGCUGAAUGAUAAAACAGAAGGGAAUUGGCUGAGGGGACACCCACUGCUUAGGGUCUGGCUGGGCAUUGGUCUGUGGCUGCCAUGGACUUCUGAAGAAGACAAGAAACUGAAAUCAGGAGUAAGGCAGUUUGGAGUGGGCAAUUGGACUAAAAUUCUGAUCCAUGGUG